This 20-nucleotide ribosomal RNA is filed under the name Trichoderma harzianum. RNAcentral describes it as "partial 18S ribosomal RNA". Lineage: Eukaryota; Fungi; Ascomycota; Sordariomycetes; Hypocreales; Hypocreaceae. The record is from RNAcentral.
CCUGCGUCCGCGGAAGGACA